UACGAGUGCCUCAAGCGUUAUCCGGAAUCAUUGGGCGUAAAGGUUGUGUAGGUGGUCAUAUUAGUCUUCUGUUAAAUUCUUCGGCUUAACCGGGGGCAUGCAGGGGAAACGGUAUGACUAGAGGAUGCGAGGGGUCUGCGGAACUCAUAGUGUAGCGGUGAAAUGCGUUGAUAUUAUGGGGAACACCAAAAGCGAAGGCAGCAGACUGGAGCACUCCUGACACUGAAACAAGAAAGCGUGGGUCGCGAAUGGG
RNAcentral lists this ribosomal RNA (253 nucleotides) under uncultured bacterium. RNAcentral describes it as "partial 16S ribosomal RNA". It matches the Rfam family "Bacterial small subunit ribosomal RNA", at positions 524 to 776 of the family's 1533-position model. The record is from RNAcentral.